UAGGGAAUCUUCCGCAAUGGACGAAAGUCUGACGGAGCAACGCCGCGUGAGUGAGGAAGGCCUUCGGGUCGUAAAGCUCUGUUGUGAGGGAAGAAGCGGUACCGUUCGAAUAGGGCGGUACCUUGACGGUACCUCACCAGAAAGCCACGGCUAACUACGUGCCAGCAGCCGCGGUAAUACGUAGGUGGCAAGCGUUGUCCGGAAUUAUUGGGCGUAAAGCGCGCGCAGGCGGCUUCUUAAGUCUGAUGUGAAAUCUCGGGGCUCAACCCCGAGCGGCCAUUGGAAACUGGGGAGCUUGAGUGCAGAAGAGGAGAGUGGAAUUCCACGUGUAGCGGUGAAAUGCGUAGAGAUGUGGAGGAACACCAGUGGCGAAGGCGACUCUCUGGUCUGUAACUGACGCUGAGGCGCGAAAGCGUGGGGAGCAAACA
This 428-nucleotide ribosomal RNA is filed under the name uncultured Bacillus sp. RNAcentral's name for it is "bacterial SSU rRNA". It matches the Rfam family "Bacterial small subunit ribosomal RNA", at positions 355 to 774 of the family's 1533-position model. RNAcentral also lists the same sequence under 1 other name. Lineage: Bacteria; Bacillati; Bacillota; Bacilli; Caryophanales; Bacillaceae. The record is from RNAcentral.